UGGGGAAUUUUGGACAAUGGGCGAAAGCCUGAUCCAGCAAUGCCGCGUGCAGGAUGAAGGCCUUCGGGUUGUAAACUGCUUUUGUACGGAACGAAAAAGCUCCUUCUAAUACAGGGGACCCAUGACGGUACCGUAAGAAUAAGCACCGGCUAACUACGUG
Molecule: ribosomal RNA, 160 nt
Filed under: uncultured bacterium
Lineage: Bacteria
Description: partial 16S ribosomal RNA
Rfam family: Bacterial small subunit ribosomal RNA
Source: RNAcentral